Molecule: long non-coding RNA, 159 nt
Organism: Anarrhichthys ocellatus (wolf-eel)
Lineage: Eukaryota; Metazoa; Chordata; Actinopteri; Perciformes; Anarhichadidae
Exons: 3
Source: RefSeq, a predicted model, not a curated record
CGAAGAAGAAGCACUUCCUUCCAAGCUGUUUCCAUGACAAUCAAACAUGGCGCCGGGAAGCCAACCAAUCCUUUCGUCCACUCCUCUUCAGGUCCUCUUCUACCUGAACAGCUGGUACUUUGCUGCCUUCUACGUGGCAGAGAUCCUGAUGUUCAUCUA